This 767-nucleotide ribosomal RNA is filed under the name Vibrio parahaemolyticus. Its description in RNAcentral is "bacterial SSU rRNA". It matches the Rfam family "Bacterial small subunit ribosomal RNA", at positions 1 to 747 of the family's 1533-position model. The record is from RNAcentral. Lineage: Bacteria; Pseudomonadati; Pseudomonadota; Gammaproteobacteria; Vibrionales; Vibrionaceae.
AAAUUGAAGAGUUUGAUCAUGGCUCAGAUUGAACGCUGGCGGCAGGCCUAACACAUGCAAGUCGAGCGGAAACGAGUUAUCUGAACCUUCGGGGAACGAUAGCGGCGUCGAGCGGCGGACGGGUGAGUAAUGCCUAGGAAAUUGCCCUGAUGUGGGGGAUAACCAUUGGAAACGAUGGCUAAUACCGCAUGAUGCCUACGGGCCAAAGAGGGGGACCUUCGGGCCUCUCGCGUCAGGAUAUGCCUAGGUGGGAUUAGCUAGUUGGUGAGGUAAGGGCUCACCAAGGCGACGAUCCCUAGCUGGUCUGAGAGGAUGAUCAGCCACACUGGAACUGAGACACGGUCCAGACUCCUACGGGAGGCAGCAGUGGGGAAUAUUGCACAAUGGGCGCAAGCCUGAUGCAGCCAUGCCGCGUGUGUGAAGAAGGCCUUCGGGUUGUAAAGCACUUUCAGUCGUGAGGAAGGCGGCGUCGUUAAUAGCGGCGUUGUUUGACGUUAGCGACAGAAGAAGCACCGGCUAACUCCGUGCCAGCAGCCGCGGUAAUACGGAGGGUGCGAGCGUUAAUCGGAAUUACUGGGCGUAAAGCGCAUGCAGGUGGUUUGUUAAGUCAGAUGUGAAAGCCCGGGGCUCAACCUCGGAAUUGCAUUUGAAACUGGCAGACUAGAGUACUGUAGAGGGGGGUAGAAUUUCAGGUGUAGCGGUGAAAUGCGUAGAGAUCUGAAGGAAUACCGGUGGCGAAGGCGGCCCCCUGGACAGAUACUGACACU